GGUGGCUCAGUGGUAGAGCCUUUGCCUUGCAUGCAUGAGGCCCUGGGUUCGAUUCCUCAGCACCA
This is a non-coding RNA of Dipodomys ordii (Ord's kangaroo rat), 65 nucleotides long. The record is from Rfam. NCBI's taxonomy places the organism in Eukaryota, Metazoa, Chordata, Mammalia, Rodentia, Heteromyidae.